This 3231-nucleotide ribosomal RNA is filed under the name Triticum aestivum (bread wheat). RNAcentral describes it as "partial small subunit ribosomal RNA". The record is from RNAcentral. Lineage: Eukaryota; Viridiplantae; Streptophyta; Magnoliopsida; Poales; Poaceae.
AUGGCCAUCAUAGCUCCAGCAGCACUGGUAGUGAUAGUAGUUGUGUCGCCGCUCGCCGCCGGUGGAGCAGCACCUCCGUCUCCGGCUAUCGGGAUGCCAGGCUGUGACACCACCUGCGGCAACAUCAGCGUGCCGUACCCGUUCGGCAUGGGGCCGGCCAGGUGCUACCACUCGCCGGGGUUCAACCUCACCUGCGACAACACCAUAACGCCGCCGCGGCUCCUGCUCGGCGGAGGCGGCAUUCUCCAAGUCGAAGGCUUCAUCCUUGAGAUGUCCAUGGUGCUCGUCAGGCGCACCCCCGGCGACAUAAGAGUGGACGCCGACGACGGCAGCGGCUCCUUGUUCGCCGCAGGCCUCGGCAACGCCGACGAAGGUGCCUACAUCAUGCUCCCGGACGUCUGGAACGAGCUCGUCCUGCUGGGAUGCAACGUCCGGGCGACUCUGCUGGUCAGCAGCGGCGGCGACAGCGGCAACGGUACCGUCGUCAGCGCCUGCUCCUCCUUGUGCGGGGAAAAAGGCCACGGGCCCUUGAGGGACGUGCCGUCCAGCCUCGAGAGCAGCAUGCUGUGCACCGGCGAAGGCUGCUGCCAGGCGCCUAUCGUCGCCGUCAAGGCAGCGGCGGUAUCAGGGUCCUCCUACUCCGUGCAGAUCGAGUGGUUCGGCCGGAACAACCGCAGCGCCGACGAGGAGCGGAUGCCCACGCGGGUGUUCGUCGCCAACAAGGGGUGGUUCGAGAACAAGAAGGUCUCCAGGCAGCUCUUGUAUCCCAAACGGUCGCCGGCGAAGGAUGUCGCCACGGGAGUACCAAUUUGGCUGAGCUGGGAGUUCGGCCAGGAUCCUUCUCGUAAUCAUCGUCAUAGCAAUAUCUCUUCUUCUUCCACCGUCAGGUGUGAUGAUGAUCUUACACAAGUCGGCUAUACGUGCUACUGCAAACAGGGCUACCAAGGCAAUCCCUACAUCCCCGACGGAUGCCAAGAUAUCAAUGAGUGUGAGCUGCCAGAAGACUACUGCCCUGGUGGCGUAUGCACAAAUACGAUUGGAAGUUUUGACUGCGGGUGUCCGCCUGGAACCCAUGGCAACAAUUCCACACCCGGUGGCUGCGUCCCUUUCAUCUCUGAAGCUGAUAGGUGCAGCCCGUCCUGCGGGGAAGUACAUGUGCACUACCCAUUCGGCGUCGGUCCAUCCCACUGCUACCGGCCAGGCUUCAACCUCACCUGCGACUAUCCCGGCAGCGGCAAGCCACCACGAUUGCUGCUCGAUAGCUACGGUGCCUUCCAAAUUCAAGAAAUCUCGAUCCAGAAUUCUACACUGCGUGUUACUAGCUCCGUCGCCACUAUCGAAGCUGAAACGAUAAAUCCUUACUCCUUCCAUUUCAAUAAUUACUUCAGUGAAGGAGGCGACGCACUCUUCUCUCUAUCCACCCGCAACGAGCUCGUCCUCUCAGGGUGCAAUGUCCAAGCAACAUUGUUGGGGCCUGGUGACGACCCGACCAUCGUUAGCGGUUGUGCCACAUUCUGUUCCGACUCUGAUAUGAACGCAGGGAGGGUGCCCAUUGCAAGCCAUGCCAGUGACAAAAAGAGUUGUUACGGCAUGGGUUGUUGCCGGGCGCCUAUAUCUACGUCAAUUGAUGGCAUGCCUGACAUGCUGAGCUUCAAAUUUGCUGACCCUAAUAGCGUCCAGAACAACUCACAACCCCCAUAUGCAUUGAUCGCCGAGGAGGGGUGGUUUGACAAUCGGCUCAUCUCCGACCAGCAGAUCCAUGCGCAUAAAAGCAAGUUGAGGUUUAAGCCUAAUGUUCCUAUCAUUCUUCAGUGGGAGGUGUUGCACCCAUCUGGCUUACCCAACGCCAACAUGAAGUCACUUCAAAAAUGUCCCACGGAGGUAGCCGCCAACAUUUGCAAGAGCACGAACAGCCACUGCAAACCAGGGAACAGAGGUUAUUCUUGCCGGUGUCGCGAGGGUUACCACGGCAAUCCCUAUGCCCCCAAGGGAUGCAAAGGUGGCCCCGUGACACUGAAAGGUAUAAGUGUCAUUAUAGGAGUUUCUUGCGGGAUGGGUCUCGUGAUUUUGGUUCUCGCAUCACUAUUUGUUUCCAAGAAAUUGAAACAUCGGAGAACCCAUAUGUUAAAACGAAAGUUCUUUGAGCAAAAUCAUGGACAACUGUUGGAACAGUUGGUAUCUCAAAGAGCUGGUAUUGCAGAACAAAUGAUCAUAACCUUGGAAGAGCUAAACAAGGCAACACACAAUUUUGAUAAAGAUCUUGUGGUUGGCGGUGGAGGGCAUGGUACUGUUUAUAAAGGGAUUUUAUCGAACCAACAUAUUGUGGCCAUCAAGAAACCAAAGAAGGUGAUUCCAAAGGAGAUUGAUGAGUUUAUAAAUGAGGUUGCCAUCCUAUCACAAAUCAACCACAAAAAUGUCGUAAAACUCUAUGGUUGCUGCCUUGAAACCGAAGUCCCCAUGUUGGUGUAUGAGUUCAUAUCCAAUGGGACUCUUUAUGAUCAUCUUCAUGUUGAAGGGCCAAUAUCAUUGUCGUGGAAUAAUAGGCUGCGGAUAGCCACAGAAACGGCCAAGUCGCUCGCCUAUCUUCACUCAACUGCGGCAAUACCUAUCAUCCACAGAGAUGUCAAGUCUGCUAACAUACUUCUGGAUGAUACUCUCGUAGCAAAGGUAGCCGACUUUGGAGCUUCAAGGUACAUUCCGAUGGAGAAAUCCGGGUUAACAACAAGAGCUCAAGGUACAAGAGGAUACUGGGAUCCUAUGUACUUUUACACUGGACGGCUCACGGAGAAAAGUGAUGUUUACAGUUUUGGGGUUGUCCUUGUGGAGCUGCUAACCAGGAAGAAACCAUUUUCGUAUCUGUCCUCAGAUGACGAGAGUCUUAUAGUACAUUUUGUUACCUUGUUUUUAGAAGGAAAUUUGCUCCAGAUAUUAGAUCCACAAGUUAUCCAGGAAGGUGGCAAAGAAGUCCAAGAAGUCGCCGCUAUUGCAACAUCAUGUGUGAAAUUAAGUGGAGAGGGUCGCCCAACCAUGAGGCAAGUGGAGUUGACGCUAGAAGGCCUCCGUGCAUCCGAGGAGCAUGUUUUAGAUAAGGUAGUGGCUAAAAAGGUUUACAAUAACAAUAUCAAGGUAGGCGUUCAAUCUAAUACAUUAGUUAGAAAAGGUAAUGAGGGGUCGACCAGACGGUAUAGUAUGGAAGAAGAGUUCAUACUAUCUGCAAGUUAUCCUUGGUAG